This 448-nucleotide ribosomal RNA is filed under the name uncultured bacterium. Its description in RNAcentral is "bacterial SSU rRNA". It matches the Rfam family "Bacterial small subunit ribosomal RNA", at positions 328 to 793 of the family's 1533-position model. The record is from RNAcentral.
CUCCCAGACUCCUACGGGAGGCAGCAGUGGGGAAUAUUGCACAAUGGGGGAAACCCUGAUGCAGCGACGCCGCGUGAGCGAUGAAGUAUUUCGGUAUGUAAAGCUCUAUCAGCAGGGAAGAAGAUGACGGUACCUGACUAAGAAGCCCCGGCUAACUACGUGCCAGCAGCCGCGGUAAUACGUAGGGGGCAAGCGUUAUCCGGAUUUACUGGGUGUAAAGGGAGCGUAGACGGUCCUGCAAGCCAGAUGUGAAAGCCCGGGGCUCAACCCCGGGACUGCAUUUGGAACUGUAAGGCUAGAGUGUCGGAGAGGCGGGCGGAAUUCCUGGUGUAGCGGUGAAAUGCGUAGAUAUCAGGAGGAACACCGGCGGCGAAGGCGGCCUGCUGGACCGCGACUGACGUUGAGGCUCGAAAGCGUGGGGAGCAAACAGGAUUAGAUACCCUAGUAG